GUUAACCAAAACCUAACCCUAGAGAACCCCCAAACGGCGCACUCACCAUUCCCAGCCCUCUGCCCGCCUCCAACUCGCCGGAAAACCGGCGAGUUCACUUAACGAGUUCAUGGUCCCCUCCUCUCUUCCCUCCUUCCUCCACGUCACGCAUUCCGUACCAAGAUUCAUCAUUGUCACGCGUUUCCUUCCUUUAUUUUUCUUUUUCUAAACAAAAAUCUGAACCCUUGAAUAAAUUUUGGAAGACUGGGAACCGUUGGAUGAAAAAAAAUUUGUCCAAAGUUUUCAUUUUUCCGAUUUUUGUUUGUGAAAGGGGAUUUUCGGAUUUUAUUUUAUGGUCCCACACGAUUUCUUGGAGAAGAGGAGAAGAAGGUUCGAGAGGGGCUAUAUAUUUGGAGUUCUUGGACAGAAAUUGGGGUUUUUUUUUUGGACAGAAAUUUCGGGACAGAAAACGGUUCUAGGGUUUUGGAAAAGGGGUUUCUGUUUUUUUUAUAGUAAAAUCCGAAUUUCAGAAAAUAUAAAAAAAAUGGUUUCAGUUUCUUCUCUUGGGUUCUAACUUCAAGGAUGGGAAUCGAUUGAGGUUUGAAGCUGAUUUGAGUUGUCGUUCAGUGUUCGAAACUCGCGGUUCAUGUUCGAUCUAGCUGCUGCAUUUUCGAGUGCCCUUUUAAGUUUGAAGCUUUGUAGCUGAUUCCCUUAACUCUCUGUUAUCAAGAGGAAACUUAAAUUUCUCAGGUGAUGGUUUAGAUUUUAAUGAUCCGAGAAGACGGCGGUGAAUUGGUGGCCAGUGGUGGUGUAGCAACUUUUUGAUGAAAUUUUUGACAAUUUAAUGCAGAUCUUGGGGGAAUUUAUUACGAAACCAAUAAUAAUUUUGAUGUCUUUGCUGCUCUUUAACUUGAGAAAUAUAGCUUGUAGCCUUAGCAUCAAUGAUGCACUUGUGUUUGACUCACUGCUAACUCCAUUGCAGUCUUUAUUGCGUAUCUGAAAAUUUCUAAUUCCACUCACUUUCUUGAGUUUUUCUAUUUUGAAUCUCGAUAUUUCUAAGAAUAAAAUGCACAAGAAGCUAGGAGCUGAACACAAUUAUACAGAAAUAAAAAGGCAAUAGUUAGCUUAGGCUUUUGUGUGUUUGUUUGAAUUGGAUUGUGAUGGUCUGUUUUCCUUCUACUGGUUAGCGGCAAUGGAGAUUAUUCAUCGGAUAAGAGAAACAGUUGAACGAGGGAACUUGGUUAAGAGAUAUAAUUGUAAUUUUAAGUAUUUUAUUUAUAUCUUAUUUAAAUUGACACGUGUCAUAGCUUUAUUGGUGCAUGAUAUUACACAUAAUUUAGAAAACUGGUCAAGAACAAAGUGGUGUGUAAUAGACACACUUCAGAAAGGUUGAAUGUGUAAAAUGAUUUUUCGUCGUUAGAAGAUGUGUAACAGGAAUUUGGUCUAUAGUUCAGGUAACAACUUAUAUA
Molecule: long non-coding RNA, 1448 nt
Organism: Nicotiana tabacum (common tobacco)
Lineage: Eukaryota; Viridiplantae; Streptophyta; Magnoliopsida; Solanales; Solanaceae
Source: RefSeq, a predicted model, not a curated record